UCUUUAAUAUACCUAUCACAUUAAUGUUUUAAGGGUCUUAAGCUUAUACAAACCAUUUAAGUCGGUAUGAAACACCAAAACGGAAUGAACAAUAACCGAUUACAUUUUGUAGUUUAGAAAUUCUAAAUGCAUUGAACAGAAAGGAGAAAUUUGUAAUGAAAUGUUGAGUUUUUAUAUUUAUCACUUUUAAUUUGAUAUUAAAUAGAAAUAACUUAUUAAUAUGGAUGAGUUAAAAUUAUUAGUUUGAAAAAUCAUGAGAGCGCCCUCUACGAUAUCAAUAACAAAGAUGGCGGAACGUAAACAAACCACUUCGCCGCGAAUAUGGAACUUGUUCUCUUAUUUCUUGCUAAUUGUACUAUAUAGUCCGCAUCCCCACU
RNAcentral lists this long non-coding RNA (377 nucleotides) under Mytilus galloprovincialis (Mediterranean mussel). The record is from RNAcentral. Lineage: Eukaryota; Metazoa; Mollusca; Bivalvia; Mytilida; Mytilidae.